RNAcentral lists this ribosomal RNA (482 nucleotides) under uncultured bacterium. RNAcentral's name for it is "bacterial SSU rRNA". It matches the Rfam family "Bacterial small subunit ribosomal RNA", at positions 30 to 506 of the family's 1533-position model. The record is from RNAcentral.
UUGAACGCUGGCGGCAUGCUUUACACAUGCAAGUCGAACGGCAGCGGGGGCUUCGGCCUGCCGGCGAGUGGCGAACGGGUGAGUAACAUAUCGGAACGUACCCUAUCGUGGGGGAUAACACAUCGAAAGAUGUGCUAAUACCGCAUACGACCUGAGGGUGAAAGCGGGGGAUCGCAAGACCUCGCGCGACAGGAGCGGCCGAUAUCGGAUUAGCUAGUUGGUGAGGUAAAGGCUCACCAAGGCGACGAUCCGUAGCUGGUCUGAGAGGAUGAUCAGCCACACUGGAACUGAGACACGGUCCAGACUCCUACGGGAGGCAGCAGUGGGGAAUUUUGGACAAUGGGGGAAACCCUGAUCCAGCCAUUCCGCGUGAGUGAAGAAGGCCUUCGGGUUGUAAAGCUCUUUCAGGAGGGAAGAAACGGUUGCGGCUAAUACCCGCGACUAAUGACGGUACCUUCAGAAGAAGCACCGGCUAACUACGU